This 202-nucleotide ribosomal RNA is filed under the name Salmonella enterica subsp. enterica serovar Haifa. RNAcentral describes it as "partial 23S ribosomal RNA". It matches the Rfam family "Bacterial large subunit ribosomal RNA", at positions 2036 to 2237 of the family's 2925-position model. Lineage: Bacteria; Pseudomonadati; Pseudomonadota; Gammaproteobacteria; Enterobacterales; Enterobacteriaceae. The record is from RNAcentral.
GUGAAAUUGAACUCGCUGUGAAGAUGCAGUGUACCCGCGGCAAGACGGAAAGACCCCGUGAACCUUUACUAUAGCUUGACACUGAACAUUGAGCCUUGAUGUGUAGGAUAGGUGGGAGGCUUUGAAGCGUGGACGCCAGUCUGCGUGGAGCCGACCUUGAAAUACCACCCUUUAAUGUUUGAUGUUCUAACGUGGACCCGUU